RNAcentral lists this unclassified non-coding RNA (219 nucleotides) under uncultured Actinomycetes bacterium. RNAcentral describes it as "uncultured actinobacterium contains 16S-23S intergenic spacer region". It matches the Rfam family "Bacterial small subunit ribosomal RNA", at positions 976 to 1196 of the family's 1533-position model. The record is from RNAcentral. Lineage: Bacteria; Bacillati; Actinomycetota; Actinomycetes.
UGGGCUUGACAUCAGGGGAAAACCUACAGAGAUGUAGGGUCCGUAAGGGCCCCUGACAGGUGUUGCAUGGCUGUCGUCAGCUCGUGCCGUGAGGUGUUGGAUUAAGUUCCGCAACGAGCGCAACCCCCGUCUUUAGUUGCCAGCACGUAAUGGUGGGGACUCUAGAGAGACUGCCGGCGACAAGCCGGAGGAAGGUGGGGAUGACGUGUAACCGAAUCU